GGGCCUGUAGUUCAGCGGUUAGAGCCCUCCGCUCAUAACGGAGUUGUCGUAAGUUCGAAUCUUACCGGGCCCACCA
This 76-nucleotide transfer RNA is filed under the name Holosporaceae bacterium. RNAcentral's name for it is "tRNA-Ile". It matches the Rfam family "tRNA". From Rfam's summary of the family: Transfer RNA (tRNA) molecules are approximately 80 nucleotides in length. Their secondary structure includes four short double-helical elements and three loops (D, anti-codon, and T loops). Further hydrogen bonds mediate the characteristic L-shaped molecular structure. tRNAs have two regions of fundamental functional importance: the anti-codon, which is responsible for specific mRNA codon recognition, and the 3' end, to which the tRNAs corresponding amino acid is attached (by aminoacyl-tRNA synthetases). tRNAs cope with the degeneracy of the genetic code in two manners: having more than one tRNA (with a specific anti-codon) for a particular amino acid; and 'wobble' base-pairing, i.e. permitting non-standard base-pairing at the 3rd anti-codon position. The record is from RNAcentral. Lineage: Bacteria; Pseudomonadati; Pseudomonadota; Alphaproteobacteria; Holosporales; Holosporaceae.